This is a long non-coding RNA of Gadus morhua (Atlantic cod), 1008 nucleotides long. The record is from Ensembl. Lineage: Eukaryota; Metazoa; Chordata; Actinopteri; Gadiformes; Gadidae.
UUUCCACAAAAUAUUACCUUUUUUGGAACAAAAAGGAAGAAAUGGUAUUCUGUAUAAGGCAUCAGCAACAUCAGUUUAAUCUUUGUUUUUUUGUACUGUCUAGACCUGUCUAAAGCUCUCAGAGAAGAACAAUCUUCAGAGGAAGACACUGCCUCCUGCUCAUCAUUGUCGUCAAUGAGCCGGUCCUCCUCCUGUUCUUCCUCCUCCUCCUCAGAUGAGAAGAUGAAACGAAAGGGCAAGGGAAAACUCAGACUUUCAAAGACAAAGAACAAAAUAAAGAAGGCCAGGAAGCACCACAAAGUGACUGAUGUCCGCAAAAGAGCCUGUGGCCCUUUUGAAGUGAUAAGAAGAUACAAGAAGGUCCUGAAAGCAUACAAUCAGGGCUUGAAAUUGUCGGCUUCCUGUGCAUACGCAGGGGUGAACGAACUCACAGUCAGGUCCACGGCAAGCAUUGCAGAGUUGACAACAGCGUCACCUGCCAAGUUCACAAAGCUCCUCGAUAAAACAAAACAGGCAAAGCUGAAAGAUGUAGCAAAUUUAUGCGAAAACUACAUUAAAGGUGAUGCUCAGGUUCAGACAAAAAUAGAUGACUUAAAAAGUCAAUGCAAAUUAAUCCCGUAUGCAAAGAGAGCAUAAUUAUAAUUUUUUUACCCGUUCGUGUUGUUUUUUUUCAAGAGUGGUUAAGAAAUAUUGCCUGUCUCUCACUCUGUCUUUCCCUCACUUUAUUGUGCUCUGUCUCACUGUCUUUCUCUCUUUUCCUCACGCUCUGGUUGAAACCCUCUCUCUUUCUCUGUUUAUUUGAUAUACCAUUUUAUACAUUCUGUUGGCAUUCUAGUUUGAUCCUCUUUUUUGAUCAGUUUAAUGAUCAGUGUUCCAGUAGACCAUCUGGUUAACCAUCAGUGGUCAGUGUUCCAGUAGACCAUCAGGUUAACCAUCAGUGGUCAGUGUUCCAGUAGACCAUCAGGUUAACCAUCAGUGGUCAGUGUUCCAGUAGAAAACAAAAAGCUA